RNAcentral lists this ribosomal RNA (449 nucleotides) under uncultured bacterium. RNAcentral describes it as "bacterial SSU rRNA". It matches the Rfam family "Bacterial small subunit ribosomal RNA", at positions 29 to 524 of the family's 1533-position model. The record is from RNAcentral.
AACGAACGCUGGCGGCAGGCCUAACACAUGCAAGUCGAACGCCGUAGCAAUACGGAGUGGCAGACGGGUGAGUAACACGUGGGAACGUACCCUUCGGUUCGGAAUAACUCAGGGAAACUUGAGCUAAAACCGGAUACGUCCGAGAGGAGAAAGAUUCAUCGCCGAGGGAUCGGCCCGCGUCUGAUUAGCUUGUUGGUGAGGUAACGGCUCACCAAGGCGACGAUCAGUAGCUGGUCGAGAGGAUGAUCAGCCACAUUGGGACUGAGACACGGCCCAAACUCCUACGGGAGGCAGCAGUGGGGAAUAUUGGACAAUGGGCGCAAGCCUGAUCCAGCCAUGCCGCGUGAGUGAUGAAGGCCCUAGGGUUGUAAAGCUCUUUUACCCGGGAAGAUAAUGACUGUACCGGGAGAAUAAGCCCCGGCUAACUUCGUGCCAGCCGCCGCCGUAAU